AAAUCCCCGGGCUUAACCUGGGAAUGGCGCCUGUGACUGUAUAGCUAGAGUGUGUCAGAGGGGGGUAGAAUUCCACGUGUAGCAGUGAAAUGCGUAGGUAUGUGGAGGAAUACCAAUGGCGAAGGCAGCCCCCUGGGAUAACACUGACGCUCAUGCACGAAAGCGUGGGGAGCAAACAGGAUUAGAUACCCUGGUAGUCCACGCCCUAAACGAUNCUGACUAGUUGUUCGGGAUUUACAUCCUGAGUAACGUAGCUAACGCGUGAAGUCAGCCGCCUGGGGAGUACGGUCGCAAGAUUAAAACUCAAAGGAAUUGACGGGGACCCGCACAAGCGUGGAUGAUGUGGAUUGAUUCGAUGCAACGCGAAAANC
This 371-nucleotide ribosomal RNA is filed under the name uncultured beta proteobacterium. RNAcentral describes it as "bacterial SSU rRNA". It matches the Rfam family "Bacterial small subunit ribosomal RNA", at positions 597 to 969 of the family's 1533-position model. Lineage: Bacteria; Pseudomonadati; Pseudomonadota; Betaproteobacteria. The record is from RNAcentral.